CUCCUCCGGCUGCAGGACGUGGUCCGACCGUGUGCACUUUCCGCGGGCAGAGCGCCACGACCGGUUCUCGGGCGGUCAGAAGGCGGCGGGGAUGGUAGGUGUGCGCUUCGGCGCGCACUGGUAUAGCCCCGCCUGUCCCGAUCCGCUCGGGGACCGAGGAGCCGCCGUCGGUGAUAUGGGCCGCCUCGCCCUCCUGGGAUGCUCGACUGGCAGAGACUGGGCAACCGUGUCUGCCGACCGCUUCCCGGGACGGACAGGGGUGGGCCCCACCGGCACAGGGUCGGUGGCGAAUCGGUCGGCCCUCCACCCGACCCGUCUUGAAACACGGACCAAGGAGUCUAACAUGCGCGCGAGUCGUUGGGUCGUACGAAACCCGAAGGCGAAGUGAAAGCGAGGGCCGGUCUCUGGCUGGCUCAGGUGGGAUCCCUCCACCCCUUUGCAGUGGGGGGCGCACCACCGGCCCGUCUCGUCCGCGCUGUCGGUGAGGCGGAGCAUGAGCGUGCACGUUGGGACCCGAAAGAUGGUGAACUAUGCCUGAGUAGGACGAAGCCAGAGGAAACUCUGGUGGAGGUCCGCAGCGAUUCUGACGUGCAAAUCGAUCGUCAAACUUGGGUAUAGGGGCGAAAGA
RNAcentral lists this ribosomal RNA (628 nucleotides) under Gyrineum roseum. Its description in RNAcentral is "eukaryotic LSU rRNA". The stretch from base 329 to 628 matches the Rfam family "Eukaryotic large subunit ribosomal RNA", at positions 665 to 930 of the family's 3401-position model. The record is from RNAcentral. Lineage: Eukaryota; Metazoa; Mollusca; Gastropoda; Littorinimorpha; Ranellidae.